This 250-nucleotide ribosomal RNA is filed under the name uncultured prokaryote. RNAcentral describes it as "partial 16S ribosomal RNA". It matches the Rfam family "Bacterial small subunit ribosomal RNA", at positions 524 to 773 of the family's 1533-position model. The record is from RNAcentral.
UACGAAGGGUGCAAGCGUUGUUCGGAAUUACUGGGCGUAAAGGGCGCGUAGGCGGAUAGAUUAGUCAGGAGUGAAAUCCCGAGGCUUAACCUCGGAACUGCCUUUGAAACGGUCUAUCUCGAGUGUAACAGGGGACAGUGGAAUACCCAGUGUAGAGGUGAAAUUCGUAGAUAUUGGGUAGAACACCGGAGGCGAAGGCGACUGUCUGGGUUACAACUGACGCUGAGGCGCGAAAGCGUGGGGAUCAAAC